This 868-nucleotide ribosomal RNA is filed under the name Tetracladium sp. WMM-2012e. Its description in RNAcentral is "eukaryotic LSU rRNA". The stretch from base 159 to 312 matches the Rfam family "5.8S ribosomal RNA". Lineage: Eukaryota; Fungi; Ascomycota; Leotiomycetes; Helotiales. The record is from RNAcentral.
AGUAGCUAUGCCUUCGGGGUAGAUCUCCCACCCUUUGUAUACUAUACCUUUGUUGCUUUGGCGGGCCGCCUAGCUACUGGCUUCGGCUGGUAAGUGCCCGCCAGAGGACCCAAAACCCUGAAUAUUAGUGUCGUCUGAGUAAAAAGUUUAAUAUUUAAAACUUUCAACAACGGAUCUCUUGGCUCUGGCAUCGAUGAAGAACGCAGCGAAAUGCGAUAAGUAAUGUGAAUUGCAGAAUUCAGUGAAUCAUCGAAUCUUUGAACGCACAUUGCGCCCCCUGGUAUUCCGGGGGGCAUGCCUAUUCGAGCGUCAUUAUCACCCCUCAAGCCUAGCUUGGUGUUGAGGCCUGCUGUCAAGGCAGCCUCUAAAAUCAGUGGCAGUGCUGUCAGGCUCUAAGCGUAGUAAAAUAAAUCGCUAUAGGGUCCUGGUGGAUACUCGUCAGAACCCCCCCAUUUUUUAAUGAUUGACCUCGGAUUAGGUAGGGAUACCCGCUGAACUUAAGCAUAUCAAUAAGCGGAGGAAAAGAUCAUUACCGAGUUCAUGCCCUUCGGGGUAGAUCUCCCACCCUUUGUAUACUAUACCUUUGUUGCUUUGGCGGGCCCCUAGCUACUGGCUUCGGCUGGUAAGUGCCCGCCGAGGACCAAAACCUGAAAUAUUAAUGUCGUCUGAGUAAAAAGUUUUAAUAUUUUAAAACUUUCACACGGAUCUCUUGGCUCUGGCAUCAUGAAAAACGCACGAAAUGGAUAGUAAUGUGAAUUGCAGAAAUCUGAAUCUCAAUCUUGAAGCAAUUGUGCCCUGGUAUCCGGGGGGAUGCCAUUCAGCGUUUUACCCCCACCCAGUUGGGUUUUAGGCGGCUGCCAGCCACCCC